GCUUUUUUUUCGAUAAUCUAUUUUUACUGUGAACUGUUUUAUUUCACGGCGCUUGAGGAAUGACCGGGUAGCCAUAAUGGACAGGCUGCUUGGGAUGUUUAACCGAGUCGUGGUCAGGCUUAGGCCUGGUGUCCUAAAAUUAAUUAUUUACCAAAAAGAAUUCAGUAUAAAAAAUAUUGUAACAUGGGCGUAAAAAACCUAUAAAAACAACUUUUAACAACGGAUCUCUUGGUUCUCGCAUCGAUGAAGAACGUAGCAAAGUGCGAUAACUAGUGUGAAUUGCAUAUUCAGUGAAUCAUCGAGUCUUUGAACGCAUCUUGCACUCACUGGUAUUCCAGUGAGUACGCCUGUUUCAGUAUCAAAAACACCCCACACUCAAAAUUCAGUUUUGAGUGGAACUGAGAGUUCACGGCCUUUAGCUGUACUCUUUAAAUAAAUUAGGCCUGAAAAUUGUAUUGUCUUUGCCUGAACAUUUUUUUAAUAUAAAGGAAUGCUCUUGCCAACAAUCUUCUCUGGGGCCUCCCAAAUAAAUCUUUGUCUUAAACUUGAUCUGAAAUCAGGCGGGAUUACCCGCUGAACUUAAGCAUAUCAAUAAGCGGAGGA
Molecule: ribosomal RNA, 603 nt
Filed under: Mucor heterogamus
Lineage: Eukaryota; Fungi; Mucoromycota; Mucoromycetes; Mucorales; Mucoraceae
Description: eukaryotic LSU rRNA
Rfam family: 5.8S ribosomal RNA (bases 209-361)
Source: RNAcentral